Molecule: long non-coding RNA, 758 nt
Organism: Quercus robur (English oak)
Lineage: Eukaryota; Viridiplantae; Streptophyta; Magnoliopsida; Fagales; Fagaceae
Exons: 2
Source: RefSeq, a predicted model, not a curated record
GCUUCUCCUUCUCAAAAACAAAAUUCUCUCUGUCACGCUUCUUUCUCUUUAUCACGCUUCGGACUAUAUAUCACGCUUCCGAUUCGGUUUAUCUAAAGAACCCAAAAUUCGGCUUCUUCUAUAUUAGCUUCUUCUCUUACUAAUCAACCACAAGAACCCAGGGUAGCUAAGCAAAACCCAAAGAAGAAACAGUAUCGGCCGUUCUCUGCCUGGCGACGAUAUUUGAAAUAGUUGUCAAUGUCAGAGCUAGGCAGGAAAAAAUAUCUCUAUGGAUGAAGAAUGCUACAAAUGAUGCUGCACAGGCAUCUGGCAUGUUUUGUUCACAUGUACUCUUUUGGACCCACCAGAUGACUUAACUUCUUCUACUUCGUACGGAUGCUAAAUUAUAAAUACAACUUUGGUUCUGUAUAUAUGAGUAUAAAACCUACUUGCAUUUGUGCUCAAGAUUUUAGAGAUGAAUUGAGAAAGAAGAGUUAAACAUGAUGGGCGGGUCAAGAUUUUGGUCUAAUAUGUUAUGAAAUGGAUGAAUUGCAGACAUUUUAGUAAUAGCCUUGUUUUAUGUUGGGAUUGAGAUACGAUGAGUAGAAGAUAUUAACUGUGGUAACAUAGGGCAAUCUACUUAGACAAGCUAACAUGUGCUCCCUUCUAUUUGUUUGUUUAUUGUAUUGAUAGACGUGUUGUAAUUUUUUAUGGUCGAUACUGUUUUUGGGUGAAUGCAAAAAUGUAAUUGAUAUUUAAGUAAAAUUCAAUGACUUGAA